GGAGGAGUACCCAAGUGGCUGAAGGGGACGGUUUGCUAAAUCGUUAGGUCGGCGAAAGUUGGCGCGGGAGUUCGAAUCUCCCCUCCUCCGCCA
This 93-nucleotide transfer RNA is filed under the name Sphaerimonospora mesophila. RNAcentral's name for it is "tRNA-Ser". It matches the Rfam family "tRNA". From Rfam's summary of the family: Transfer RNA (tRNA) molecules are approximately 80 nucleotides in length. Their secondary structure includes four short double-helical elements and three loops (D, anti-codon, and T loops). The record is from RNAcentral. RNAcentral also lists the same sequence under 3 other names. Lineage: Bacteria; Bacillati; Actinomycetota; Actinomycetes; Streptosporangiales; Streptosporangiaceae.